RNAcentral lists this ribosomal RNA (497 nucleotides) under uncultured bacterium. RNAcentral describes it as "partial 16S ribosomal RNA". It matches the Rfam family "Bacterial small subunit ribosomal RNA", at positions 28 to 507 of the family's 1533-position model. The record is from RNAcentral.
GAUGAACGCUGGCGGCGUGCCUAAUACAUGCAAGUCGAGCGAACAGACGAGGAGCUUGCUCCUCUGACGUUAGCGGUGGACGGGUGAGUAACACGUGGAUAACCUACCUAUAAGACUGGGAUAACUUCGGGAAACCGGAGCUAAUACCGGAUAACAUGUUGAACCGCAUGGUUCAACAGUGAAAGACGGUCUUGCUGUCACUUAUAGAUGGAUCCGCGCCGCAUUAGCUAGUUGGUAAGGUAACGGCUUACCAAGGCAACGAUGCGUAGCCGACCUGAGAGGGUGAUCGGCCACACUGGAACUGAGACACGGUCCAGACUCCUACGGGAGGCAGCAGUAGGGAAUCUUCCGCAAUGGGCGAAAGCCUGACGGAGCAACGCCGCGUGAGUGAAGAAGGUCUUCGGAUCGUAAAACUCUGUUAUUAGGGAAGAACAAAUGUGUAAGUAACUAUGCACGUAUUGACGGUACCUAAUCAGAAAGCCACGGCUAACUACGUG